AGAACGAACGCUGGCGGCAUGCCUAAUACAUGCAAGUCGAACGAACACUUCGGUGUUAGUGGCGCACGGGUGCGUAACGCGUGGGAAUCUGCCCUUGGGUUCGGAAUAACAGUUGGAAACGACUGCUAAUACCGGAUGAUAUCGAAAGAUCAAAGAUUUAUCGCCCAGGGAUGAGCCCGCGUAGGAUUAGCUAGUUGGUGAGGUAAAGGCUCACCAAGGCGACGAUCCUUAGCUGGUCUGAGAGGAUGGUCAGGCCACACUGGGACUGAGACACGGCCCAGACUCCGUACGGGAGGCAGCAGUAGGGAAUAUUGGACAAUGGGGCG
Molecule: ribosomal RNA, 326 nt
Filed under: uncultured soil bacterium
Lineage: Bacteria
Description: bacterial SSU rRNA
Rfam family: Bacterial small subunit ribosomal RNA
Source: RNAcentral